AAAAAGAAAAACUCUGGUUUUCAUGUCCAACGUUUGACCAUCCGUCUUAUUUGAAAAAAUUAUGAAAAAAAUUAAAAAGACAAGUCACACAUAAAAUAUUAAUCAUGUUUUAUCAUCUAACAACAAUGAAAAUACGAAUUAUAAAAAAAAAUUCAUAUAAGACAGACAGUAAAUGUUAGACACGGAAAUCAGGGUUUGCUUUUUCU
This is a non-coding RNA of Oryza glumipatula, 206 nucleotides long. NCBI's taxonomy places the organism in Eukaryota, Viridiplantae, Streptophyta, Magnoliopsida, Poales, Poaceae. The record is from Rfam.